ACGGGUGAGUAACGCGUGGGAAUCUACCCAUCUCUACGGAAUAACGCAUGGAAACGUGUGCUAAUACCGUAUACGUCCUUCGGGAGAAAGAUUUAUCGGAGAUGGAUGAGCCCGCGUUGGAUUAGCUAGUUGGUGGGGUAAAGGCCUACCAAGGCGACGAUCCAUAGCUGGUCUGAGAGGAUGAUCAGCCACACUGGGACUGAGACACGGCCCAGACUCCUACGGGAGGCAGCAGUGGGGAAUAUUGGACAAUGGGCGCAAGCCUGAUCCAGCCAUGCCGCGUGAGUGAUGAAGGCCCUAGGGUUGUAAAGCUCUUUCACCGGUGAAGAUAAUGACGGUAACCGGAGAAGAAGCCCCGGCUAACUUCGUGCCAGCAGCCGCAGUAAUACGAAGGGGGCUAGCGUUGUUCGGAUUUACUGGGCGUAAAGCGCACGUAGGCGGACUAUUAAGUCAGGGGUGAAAUCCCGGGGCUCAACCCCGGAACUGCCUUUGAUACUGGUAGUCUUGAGUUCGAGAGAGGUGAGUGGAAUUCCGAGUGUAGAGGUGAAAUUCGUAGA
Molecule: ribosomal RNA, 557 nt
Filed under: uncultured bacterium
Lineage: Bacteria
Description: bacterial SSU rRNA
Rfam family: Bacterial small subunit ribosomal RNA
Source: RNAcentral